Molecule: unclassified non-coding RNA, 433 nt
Filed under: soil metagenome
Description: partial contains 5.8S ribosomal RNA, internal transcribed spacer 2, and large subunit ribosomal RNA
Rfam family: 5.8S ribosomal RNA (bases 1-120)
Source: RNAcentral
GAUGAAGAACGUAGCGAAAUGCGAUACGUAAUGUGAAUUGCAGAAUUCAGUGAAUCAUCGAAUCUUUGAACGCAUAUUGCGCUCUCUGGUAUUCCGGAGAGCAUGCUUGUUUGAGUAUCAGUAAACACCUCAACUUCCAUAUCUUUUUUGAAAUGGGAGUUGGACUUGAGUGAUCCCAACGCUUUUCCUCACCGAAAAGUGGCGGGUUACUUGAAAUGCAGGUGCAGCUGGACUUUUCUCUGAGCUAUAAGCAUAUAUAUUUAGUCUGCCUAAAAAACCGAUUAUUACCUUUGCUGCAGCUAACAUAAAGGAGAUUAGUUCUUGUGCUGACUGAUGCAGGAUUCACAAAGACAGGCUUCGGCCGACUUUGUAAACUCGAUCUCAAAUCAAGUAAGACUACCCGCUGAACUUAAGCAUAUCAAUAAGCGGAGGA